RNAcentral lists this ribosomal RNA (253 nucleotides) under uncultured bacterium. RNAcentral's name for it is "partial 16S ribosomal RNA". It matches the Rfam family "Bacterial small subunit ribosomal RNA", at positions 524 to 776 of the family's 1533-position model. The record is from RNAcentral.
UACGUAGGGUGCAAGCGUUGUCCGGAAUUAUUGGGCGUAAAGGGUGCGUAGGCGGGUCUUUAAGUCAGGGGGGAAAUCCUGGAGCUCAACUCCAGAACUGCCUUUGAUACUGAAGAUCUUGAGUUCGGGAGAGGUGAGUGGAACUGCGAGUGUAGAGGUGAAAUUCGUAGAUAUUCGCAAGAACAUCAGUGGCGAAGGCGGCUCACUGGCCCGAUACUGACGCUGAGGCACGAAAGCGUGGGGAGCAAACAGG